ACUGCACGAGAAGUUUAGCUGUUAAAGAACCUUUCCCUGAUGCAUGGAAUAACCUUAUGCUACUCUUUGAAGAGGUAAGAGUUCUUUUUUUUAUUUUUAUUUUUCAUCCUUGCCUUUUUACCAAAACUAUGUAACAAAAGAGGAAGGAGGGAGGUAAACUCAGUAAUUUUACUUGUAGUUUUUAGAAUUCUUUGCUUUAUUUUUAAAUUUGAUUUUUGAAGUUAAGUAGUUAGGAAUCUAUUGUUUCUUCUGAUUUUGCAGAACGGGUCAUCCCAUCUGUCUUCGCUUUCCAGUGAGACACACAUCGAUUUGUUAAAGCCAUUUGAAAAAGUCUCCUUGCAGGCCGCACCACAGUCUCUCACUGGAUCUUCAAACAAGAGUAACUUGGAAACUAACAACAUCUUUUCUACUGCAAAAACUGAACUCUGGCCCCUCUUUGUGAGAUUGAUAAGUUUUUUCCUUGGGAGAUCCAGGUAAUUAGAGCAACACAAUAUUCUCUUGAUCUGACUUAUAUUCUGGCUAACCCAUCAGAAGACAACAAACAGGAUUAGUCCCUGCUGAUUUUGUGACUAUUUUCAUUUCUGUUAUUAGUUAUGGUGCUUGUGAAGAUAAAAAAAUCAUGUUGUUAUUUGCUAUUACUUGUGUGGCGGACCAUUAGUUAGUCAAGCUUGCAAGAACGCGUUUUAACUGGGUCACUCCGUAGCAAACUCGGCAAGUUUAGUAGGUGUAGCCUAAGGCAUGGUAUAUCUUUCUUGAAUUUAUUUGGAAUAUCAUCCUACAAACUGGUCGAGAUCAUCACCUUAAUUCUCUCAGUUCCCUGUUUGGGAACAACAGGGAAAUUCCCUUUUUGCGAACUACAGGGUGGAUGUCAGAGAAAUAGUGAAUUUUUGCUGAUUGAAGAGGAACUGAUAUUGUAGUUGACUGAUUUAAACACCAAAACUCCACUAUGGCCUGUGGAGUAGUAAGAAAAGCAUUUGGUGCAUCUGAUUUAGUUGAGAGUGAGACCAUGAGAGGUUAUUUAGUUGGCGAUUUAUGUCCUCCAUAAAUUUAUGAGAAGAGGCUACGAUAAAGUGAACUUAGAACUAGAGGCUGAUGAAGAUUUUUCUACAUCUCAGCUUUUAAUUGCGAAUUAUACUGGUUACUGGACCAUUCCUGCAACAUCAUUAUAGUACUUGCUUGUGUUGAACGCAGCGAUUAAUAGAGUUAAUAGGUAGUUCAAUAGAUGAUGACACACAUCAAUCAUUUACCAAUUUUGUUAAAGCCCCUUGGUUGUAUGGUGACAAUUCUCUUAUCUUCUGGCUUAUGGAUCCUUGAGCAUUUUGAGAAUUAUGACACUGGCAUGCAAUUUUGUUAUUUUACAAUGACAUGUAAUGCUUAUAUAUGCCAGAAAGAAGAUGUGACUGGCUUAUAAGGGCUUGUGUUAUGUGCUUUUUACAUCUUAAUUAAGCAUUUUGGGUCAUGAUUUUGGGUUCUAAAAGUUAACGAGCUAGUGCACAUCUAGGUUGUUACAGGUCCUGAACUUCAAGAUGGAUGUGAAGCGCAAUAAGUAUAUGCACAAUAUAGAGAAAAUUUGUCCUGGUUUUAAGCCCUUAUCUAUUUUGAAAGUCCUUUCACAUGCUUCUACCUUGUAAGUUACCCUCCUUCCCGACAGAGCAGAGGGAACUAAAAGAAAAUUGAGAAAUAUCUAAAAUUCUUUUGGGGCUUAUUUUGUUUGCUUUAUGUGAAGACACUGUGAUUUGGGAGUGUUCCUAUGCUUAUAAUGUCAAUACAGCUUGAAAGCUGUACUAUUGUUGCAGAAGAUGUUUUACCUACUUUCUGCAUUUUUUCUUUUGGAAAUGCAAACUUUAUUAAUGGUUUUACACUAGAGUGCUCCAGUUGCACUCUAGGUACUCGAAUACUUGGGGCCUUUUGAUACAAAUCAUUAAAAGACUCUAUGGUGCUAUCUAAUUCUUGUGGAUGGUGGUUGUGGUGUUUUUAAUGUUUCAUUUUUAUUUGGUUCGAUCACAAUUUUCUGUACAGCCUCAAUAAAUCACGUACCAAUGUAUUCAACUUAUUCUUGGAAAUAUGAUACUAAGAACCAGGAAGAUUGGUAAAGAUGCAUAAAUUAAAAUUGCAUGUCUAGGUGAUACUCUUGUACAUUGAGACCAAGUUAUUUUCUUUUUCCCUGUCCUCUUCUCUGGCAAUUCAUGCAUAUAAGUUUGCAUGUUUCUGUCUGGCUUCUUUCUUCUGGAAGGCUGCUAUGUUAUGUGAAUGUCUAAUUGAUUCUGAAGUUAACCAUGAUGUUUUCCUUGUCAUGCAGUUUGGAGGAAUUCGAAAGCACUCUUUCUUCCAGUGUCGAACAUUUGGAAUCUUUGGUACUUUUAGAUGAUGAGCAACUAAAAGCUGCUUUGGAGUCAUAUAAGCUGAUGGAUUCAUCCAGAAAAGGCCCUUAUCGUGCACUUCAACUUGUUUCAAUAUUCAUCUUCAUCUUACAUAACCUUACAGAAAGCCCUCAGAAUGAGAAGCUGAAUGAAAAUGACAAGCAGCAGAAAUCUGGGCUGACCCAAUUGGCUCUAAUUGCUACAUAUAUUUGUAUUGCUCGCCUUCUUGAGAGAUGUCUAAAGUGCAAUCAACUGGAGAAGUGUCUGCUUUUGCCUGCUGUGCUGGUCUUUGUUGAAUGGCUGGUUGGAGCACUUGAUGAAGUAGAAAAAUAUGCUGCCGAUGACAAAGUUAUGAGUGCCAUGUCCUACUUUUUUAGUGCUCUUGCUGAUCUUCUCAACCGAUUUAAUAUAGGAGAGGGUGAAACUGCUUGCGAUAAAUCUGCUCUUUGGGAAGAUCAUGAAUUGAGGGGUUUUGAGCCAAUGGCCAAUGCACAUGCCUCUCUGGAUUUUACGAGUACUCACUGGGAAUGGAUGGCGACUUUGGAUUCAAAACGUUCGCAUCGGAUCUUUCAUGCAGGAAUGAGGAUUGUGAACAGAUCUGCUAAUAAUAAACAGUGGAUUUUUUGUGACAAAAAAGGAUUGAAAUUCUUUACCUUUGGGUCAAUGGAACUUUUAGGCCAAGGAAAAACAGUAGGGGUAUCUAAUUUAAAUGUUAAAGUCAAGGAGGUGGAUGAACAGAUUAGUAGAAAUGUAGAAGUACAUGAACAAGAUUCUCUUGGGGAAACUCAACCUCAACGUUGUCAAAAGAGUGUACCUGUUUCCACUGAAGAGGAAGAAGUCAUUCUCUUCAACCCUAUUACACGACAUAACUCAGCACCACUCUAUAAAUAUAUCACUGAAAAUGACCAUAUGUAUAGAGAAGGAUUGAAGGAGCCUGCUUUAUCUGCUGAUGAAUGCUUGCGCCGAGCAACAUCAAUGUUCAUUGGGAAAAACCAGCCACGAAGUGAUCGAGCAAGUUUUUCUCCUGAUGCCACAAAUGUGAAGUACAACAAACCAUUGAAGGAGUCAGCAACUUACCCUGCUGGACCUCCCUCUCUUAGUGCCUGGGUGUUUGAUAGGGAUAAAUUAGAUUAUGAGCCAGAGAAAGGGAUCAAGAACUUCACUAAACAUGAGUUGACGCCGAUUCAGGAAACAGCUUUUGAAUCCUUGACUGGUCUAUUACAUGACAGAACUAGGGACUCUGUUGCUGGUCCCGCUCAUGUCUCUGCAGCCGCCCAAACUCUUUCUCCUCCUACAUAUGUCGCUCCGGUGCCUUCAGCUCCUUUAUUGCCGGAUGAUGCUACUUGGUCUAGGGGUAACUUGCCAAGUUUUCCUGAGUAUAAGAGUGCACUUGGUAGUAGGGAGACAGACGGCAUUCUUGGUGCUCCACCUGUAAGUGGAUACUCGAAUGGUUCUGCACCUCAUGGACCAUUGGAUUUUAGCCCUGUUCUUCCAGGAUUAGUCCAUGGAUACCCUCCACUACUGGGAAUGAGUUCUUCGGAAUGGCUUUAUCACUACAGAAACAAUCACAAGCUUGAUCAAACCAGUACUCUUUUCUGGCCAGUUCACAUGAAUGGACCAGGACCUCUAUCAAGUUUCCAGACAAAUGAUCUCUCAAGGUUUGAUCUUUUCAGUCAAUGGGGAAAUCCUUUGGCUUCUACUCCAACCUUCUAUAUGGAGAGCCCCCAGUUGCAUCCAGGUUCUUCUCUUGUUUACAGUGCAGGUGACCCACAAAAAGAUAGCCUCCUUUCUUACCAAAGGGCAUCUCCUUUUGUUUGUGGUGCUGUUACCGAUCCAAGACCUGAGCAACAGCCACUUCUUCAUUACCUCAAAGAGAAAGAAUGGCAACUGCAUUCUCCUCAGUUCAGAGGUUCUGCAUUUAUGGGAAACUGAAACCCUGAUAUCUUAAGCACUUCAUGACUGUACAUCUGUCUUUGCUUCAUGCUGUGCUUUGCUUGUUAAUUACUGAUUGCUUCAGAGAAAGUUUCAAUUGCCAAAAAGAUUGAUCUUAACUCACACAGGUUUAUGACUAUUUGUGUACAAUUUACUGGAGAGUGAAGUACGAAAAUUUCCUAGCAGCGUCUGUUUCAUCUUUGAAGCGUUGCGAAAAAGCCAACGCAUUCUCCAUUUUUAAAGCUAUCUGUC
Molecule: long non-coding RNA, 4544 nt
Filed under: Coffea arabica (coffee)
Lineage: Eukaryota; Viridiplantae; Streptophyta; Magnoliopsida; Gentianales; Rubiaceae
Description: long non-coding RNA (CARA_LNC000991)
Source: RNAcentral